This 440-nucleotide ribosomal RNA is filed under the name uncultured bacterium. RNAcentral's name for it is "partial 16S ribosomal RNA". It matches the Rfam family "Bacterial small subunit ribosomal RNA", at positions 339 to 795 of the family's 1533-position model. The record is from RNAcentral.
CUACGGGCCGCUGCAGUGGGGAAUUUUGCGCAAUGGGGGAAACCCUGACGCAGCAAUACCGCGUGAGUGAAGAAGGCCUUUGGGUCGUAAAGCUCUUUUCUUGGGGAAGAUAGUGACGGUACCCAAGGAAUAAGCACCGGCUAACUCCGUGCUCAGCAGCCGCGGUAAUACGGAGGGUGCAAGCGUUGUUCGGAUUUACUGGGCGUAAAGGGCACGUAGGCGGCACAGCAAGUUAAGGGUGAAAUCCCGGGGCUCAACUCCGGAACUGCUCUUAAAACUGCUGAGCUAGAGAUAGUCAGAGGCGGGUGGAAUUCCAGGUGUAGAGGUGAAAUUCGUAGAUAUCUGGAGGAACACCGGUGGCGAAGGCGGCCCGCUGGGGCUAUUCUGACGCUAAGGUGCGAAAGCGUGGGGAGCAAACGGGAUUAGAUACCCUGGUAGUC